CCAUCGGUGGUUCAGCGGUAGAAUGCUCGCCUGCCACGUGGGCGGCCCGGGUUCGAUUCCCGGCCGAUGCA
Molecule: transfer RNA, 71 nt
Filed under: Cordylochernes scorpioides
Lineage: Eukaryota; Metazoa; Arthropoda; Arachnida; Pseudoscorpiones; Chernetidae
Description: tRNA-Gly
Rfam family: tRNA
About the family: Transfer RNA (tRNA) molecules are approximately 80 nucleotides in length. Their secondary structure includes four short double-helical elements and three loops (D, anti-codon, and T loops).
Source: RNAcentral